UACGUAGGUGGCAAGCGUUGUCCGGAUUUACUGGGUGUAAAGGGCGUGCAGCCGGGCUGACAAGCCAGAUGUGAAAUCCCGCGGCUCAACCGCGGAACUGCAUUUGAAACUGUCAGUCUUGAGUACCGGAGAGGUCAUCGGAAUUCCUUGUGUAGCGGUGAAAUGCGUAGAUAUAAGGAAGAACACCAGUGGCGAAGGCGGAUGACUGGACGGCAACUGACGGUGAGGCGCGAAAGCGUGGGGAGCAAACAGG
This 253-nucleotide ribosomal RNA is filed under the name uncultured bacterium. Its description in RNAcentral is "partial 16S ribosomal RNA". It matches the Rfam family "Bacterial small subunit ribosomal RNA", at positions 524 to 776 of the family's 1533-position model. The record is from RNAcentral.